UAACAUCGUCUAUAGCCUUUUUGAGAUC
This 28-nucleotide small RNA is filed under the name Bombyx mori (domestic silkworm). Its description in RNAcentral is "ovarian small RNA-18653". The record is from RNAcentral. Lineage: Eukaryota; Metazoa; Arthropoda; Insecta; Lepidoptera; Bombycidae.